Molecule: long non-coding RNA, 484 nt
Filed under: Pan troglodytes (chimpanzee)
Lineage: Eukaryota; Metazoa; Chordata; Mammalia; Primates; Hominidae
Description: long non-coding RNA NONPTRT000672
Source: RNAcentral
CUAGGAGGGUGUUCUGCCAUCAUCACGUUAUGAAAAGCAUUUGAAAGAAAGGCUGACUGUUGUUGACAAGGAGGAGGGGAAACUUUAGGCUAAAAGAGGAAGAAAGCAGUCAGGGGAUAUUAUCCAGAAAGAAAACAUUUUAGGUGAGUGAUAAACGAUGAAGAAAUGAAAUUUCCAUUGGAAGGAUUCACCAGUGCAAACACCAAUAGCAACCAACACGUCAAAUAUGAAAUGCCACCAGAUGCCAUAAAAGAACAACUCAGGUCCUCCCUUUUAAAACUAAGUCAAAAUCUGGUAUAUUUCAGUGGAACUGAGUUGUUUAGCUUUAGAAGCCAUACAGUGACCCCAUAGCCCUACACUCAUCUCCUCUGUUAAUGACUCUACAGCUAUAAACCAGGCUUGACUAUGUUCUAUAAAGAAGACCCUCUCAAUAGACUAGAUUUCCUUAUCCACAGAAAGGAGAAAACUCUCAGGGCAAUGUUAC